Molecule: ribosomal RNA, 451 nt
Filed under: uncultured bacterium
Lineage: Bacteria
Description: partial 16S ribosomal RNA
Rfam family: Bacterial small subunit ribosomal RNA
Source: RNAcentral
AACGAACGCUGGCGGCAUGCCUAACACAUGCAAGUCGGACGCGUGGUUUCGGCCACGAGUGGCGGACGGGUGAGUAACGCGUGGGAACCUGCCCAUCGGUAAGGAACAACCGCGGGCAACUGCGGCUGAUACCGUAUAUAACCUGCGGGGGAAAGAUUUAUCGCAGAUGGGGGGGCCCGUGUCGGAUUAGGUAGGUGGUGGGGUAACGGCCGCCCAAGCCUGCGAUCCGUAGCUGGGCUGAGAGGUUGAUCAGCCACACUGGGACUGAGACACGGCCCAGACUCCACGGGAAGGCAGCAGUGGGUAAUAUUGUACAAUGGGGUCAACGCUGACCCAGCGAUGCCGCGUGAGUGGAGAAGGCCUUAGGGUAGAAAAACUCUUGCGGCGGUGACGAUGAUGACGGUACCCGCAGAAGAAGCCCCGGCUAACUCCAUGCCAGCAGCCGCCGUAA